RNAcentral lists this transfer RNA (85 nucleotides) under Leptotrichiaceae bacterium. RNAcentral's name for it is "tRNA-Leu". It matches the Rfam family "tRNA". From Rfam's summary of the family: Transfer RNA (tRNA) molecules are approximately 80 nucleotides in length. Their secondary structure includes four short double-helical elements and three loops (D, anti-codon, and T loops). Lineage: Bacteria; Fusobacteriati; Fusobacteriota; Fusobacteriia; Fusobacteriales; Leptotrichiaceae. The record is from RNAcentral.
GCGAGUGUGGUGGAAUGGUAGACACGCCAUCUUGAGGGGGUGGUGGACGAAGUCCGUAUGGGUUCAAAUCCCAUUACUCGCACCA